AGGUUAAGUAAUUAAGGGCGCACGGUGGAUGCCUUGGCACUAGGAGCCGAAGAAGGACGUGACUAACGACGAUAUGCCCCGGGGAGCUGUAAGUAAGCAAUGAUCCGAGGAUUUCCGAAUGGGGGAACCCACGAUAUUUUGAGUAUCGUACUUUUAAGUGAAUACAUAGCUUAAAAGAGGAAGACACAGUGAACUGAAACAUCUAAGUAGCUGUAGGAAGAGAAAGCAAACGCGAUUCCCUAAGUAGCGGCGAGCGAAACGGGAAGAGGCCAAACCACAGAGCUUGCUUUGUGGGGUUGUAGGACUCAGCUGUGGUACUAAUAUUGAUAGAAGAAUUAACUGGAAAGUUAAACCAAAGAGAGUAAAAGUCUCGUAUUCGAAAUUGAUUGACGACCUAUGAGUAUCCUGAGUACGGCGGAACACGAGGAAUUCCGUCGGAAUCCGGGAGGACCAUCUCCCAAGCCUAAAUACUCCCUAGUGACCGAUAGUGAACCAGUACCGUGAGGGAAAGGUGAAAAGCACCCCGGAAGGGGAGUGAAAUAGAACCUGAAACCGUGUGCUUACAACAAGUUCGAGCCCGUUAAUGGGUGAGAGCGUGCCUUUUGUAGAAUGAACCGGCGAGUUACGAUAUGUUGCGAGGUUAAAUUGCAGAAAUGGAGCCGUAGGGAAACCGAGUCUGAAUAGGGCGCCAUAGUAACAUGUCGUAGACCCGAAACCAUGUGACCUACCCAUGUCCAGGUUGAAGGUGCGGUAAAACGCACUGGAGGACCGAACCCACGUACGUUGAAAAGUGCGGGGAUGAGGUGUGGGUAGCGGAGAAAUUCCAAACGAACUUGGAGAUAGCUGGUUCUCUCCGAAAUAGCUUUAGGGCUAGCGUCGAGUGAUGAAUUAUGGAGGUAGAGCACUGUUUGGGUGAGGGGUCCGUCUUGGAUUACCAAUCUCAGAUAAACUCCGAAUGCCAUUAAUUUUAGCUCGGCAGUCAGACAGUGAGUGAUAAGAUCCAUUGUCGAAAGGGAAACAGCCCAGACCACCAGUUAAGGUCCCCAAAUCUAUGUUAAGUGGAAAAGGAUGUGGGGGUGCACAAACAACUAGGAUGUUGGCUCAGAAGCAGCCACCAUUUAAAGAGUGCGUAAUAGCUCACUAGUCGAGUGCCCCUGCGCCGAAAAUUUACCGGGGCUAAACAUAGUACCGAAACUGUGGAUUACAGUAAUGUAAUGGUAGGAGAGCGUUCUAAUUGCGCUGAAGGUAUACCGUGAGGAGUGCUGGAGCGAUUAGAAGUGAGAAUGCCGGUAUGAGUAGCGAAAGACAGGUGAGAAUCCUGUCCACCGUAAGACUAAGGUUUCCAGGGGAAGGCUCGUCCGCCCUGGGUUAGUCGGGACCUAAGCUGAGGCCGAAAGGCGUAGGCGAUGGCCAACAGGUUGAUAUUCCUGUACUAGGUAAUAUUGUUUGAGCAAUGGAGGGACGCAGUAGGCUAAUCGAUCAUCCUGAUGGAUGGAUGUCCAAGCAUUAAGUUUUGAAAAGAGUCAAAUGCUUUUUUCUAUAAGAACAAGAUGUUAUGGGGAGCGAAAUUAUAGUAGCGAAGUUGAUGAUGUCACACUGCCAAGAAAAUCUUCUAGUUAGAUAUUACUUACCCGUACCGCAAACCGACACAGGUAGUCGAGGCGAGUAGCCUCAGGUGAGCGAGCGAACUCUCGUUAAGGAACUCGGCAAAAUGACCCCGUAACUUCGGGAGAAGGGGUGCUGAACUUCGGUUCAGCCGCAGUGAAUAGGCCCAAGCGACUGUUUAUCAAAAACACAGGUCUCUGCUAAAUCGUAAGAUGAUGUAUAGGGGCUGACGCCUGCCCGGUGCUGGAAGGUUAAGAGGAUUGCUUAGAUUCGUCGAAGGUAAGAAUUGAAGCCCCAGUAAACGGCGGCCGUAACUAUAACGGUCCUAAGGUAGCGAAAUUCCUUGUCGGGUAAGUUCCGACCCGCACGAAAGGCGUAACGAUUUGGGCACUGUCUCAACGAGAGACUCGGUGAAAUUUUAGUACCUGUGAAGAUGCAGGUUACCCGCGACAGGACGGAAAGACCCCAUGGAGCUUUACUGUAGUUUGAUAUUGAGUGUUUGUACCACAUGUACAGGAUAGGUAGGAGCCUAUGAUUUAGGGACGCUAGUUUCUAAUGAGGCGCUGUUGGGAUACUACCCUUGUGUUAUGACCACUCUAACCCGCUACGCUAAUCGCGUAGGGAGACAUUGUCAGAUGGGCAGUUUGACUGGGGCGGUCGCCUCCUAAAGAGUAACGGAGGCGCCCAAAGGUUCCCUCAGAAUGGUUGGAAAUCAUUCGAAGAGUGCAAAGGCAGAAGGGAGCUUGACUGCGAGAGCUACAACUCGAGCAGGGACGAAAGUCGGGCUUAGUGAUCCGGUGGUACCGCAUGGAAGGGCCAUCGCUCAACGGAUAAAAGCUACCCUGGGGAUAACAGGCUUAUCUCCCCCAAGAGUCCACAUCGACGGGGAGGUUUGGCACCUCGAUGUCGGCUCGUCGCAUCCUGGGGCUGUAGUCGGUCCCAAGGGUUGGGCUGUUCGCCCAUUAAAGCGGCACGCGAGCUGGGUUCAGAACGUCGUGAGACAGUUCGGUCCCUAUCCGUCGCGGGCGUAGGAAAUUUGAGAGGAUCUGACCUUAGUACGAGAGGACCGGGUUGGACUUACCGCUGGUGUACCAGUUGUCUCGCCAGAGGCAUCGCUGGGUAGCUAUGUAGGGCAGGGAUAAACGCUGAAAGCAUCUAAGUGUGAAGCCCCCCUCAAGAUGAGAUUUCCCAUUCUUUAAGAAUUAAGAGCCCUCAGAGAAGAUGAGGUAGAUAGGUUGGAAGUGUAAGUGAAGUGAUUCAUUGAGCGGACCAAUACUAAUCGCUCGAGGACUUAACCAAUUU
This 2907-nucleotide ribosomal RNA is filed under the name Enterococcus sp. MMGLQ5-1. Its description in RNAcentral is "23S ribosomal RNA". It matches the Rfam family "Bacterial large subunit ribosomal RNA". RNAcentral also lists the same sequence under 1 other name. The record is from RNAcentral. Lineage: Bacteria; Bacillati; Bacillota; Bacilli; Lactobacillales; Enterococcaceae.